Molecule: ribosomal RNA, 229 nt
Filed under: uncultured bacterium
Lineage: Bacteria
Description: partial 16S ribosomal RNA
Rfam family: Bacterial small subunit ribosomal RNA
Source: RNAcentral
CGGGGUGAGUAAUGUCUGGGAAACUGCCUGAUGGAGGGGGAUAACUGCUGGAAACGGUAGCUAAUACCGCACAACGUCGCAAGACCAAAGAGGGGGACCUUCGGGCCUCUUGCCAUCGGAUGUGCCCAGAUGGGAUUAGCUAGUAGGUGGGGUAACGGCUCACCUAGGCGACGAUCCCUAGCUGGUCUGAGAGGAUGACCAGCCACACUGGAACUGAGACACGGUCCAG